This 457-nucleotide ribosomal RNA is filed under the name uncultured Acidovorax sp. RNAcentral describes it as "bacterial SSU rRNA". It matches the Rfam family "Bacterial small subunit ribosomal RNA", at positions 923 to 1382 of the family's 1533-position model. Lineage: Bacteria; Pseudomonadati; Pseudomonadota; Betaproteobacteria; Burkholderiales; Comamonadaceae. The record is from RNAcentral.
GCACAAGCGGUGGAUGAUGUUGGUUUAAUCGAUGCAACGCGAAAACCUUACCCACCUUUGACAUGUACGGAAUCCUUUAGAGAUAGAGGAGUGCUCGAAAGAGAACCGUAACACAGGUGCUGCAUGGCUGUCGUCAGCUCGUGUCGUGAGAUGUUGGGUUAAGUCCCGCAACGAGCGCAACCCUUGUCAUUAGUUGCUACAUUCAGUUGGGCACUCUAAUGAGACUGCCGGUGACAAACCGGAGGAGGUGGGGAUGACGUCAAGUCCUCAUGGCCCUUAUAGGUGGGGCUACACACGUCAUACAAUGGCCGGUACAGAGGGUAGCCAACCCGCGAGGGGGAGCCAAUCCCACAAAGCCGGUCGUAGUCCGGAUCGCAGUCUGCAACUCGACUGCGUGAAGUCGGAAUCGCUAGUAACCGUGGAUCAGCAUGUCACGGUGAAUACGUUCCCGGGUCUU